This 1189-nucleotide unclassified non-coding RNA is filed under the name Hevea brasiliensis (rubber tree). Lineage: Eukaryota; Viridiplantae; Streptophyta; Magnoliopsida; Malpighiales; Euphorbiaceae. The record is from RNAcentral.
CAUUGAUCUAAAUUUCUUACAUCGUGAGAGUCCUGCAACUCAUCUACAAGCAUAUUUCUUCUUCGAGAGGGAACCUUCUGUCUGCUUUCGAAGUUUACACGCAGUUGAAUAAUGGUGGAAGAAAACAAGACCAUUUCUUCCUUGGAAAUUAAUGGAGAUGUGAAACUAUGUCCAACCAAAACGCGUUGUCUCCCCCAUAUGCAGGAAAGCAGCCGCUUUUUAUGAACAUUCCUUGAAAUGAAAGUGUUGUUGUUUCAAACACUCCACCUGCUUCAUCCAUGCCUAUUUAAGCAACAUAAACAACCCUCACCAAGCCUAUAUUACACCUCAUCUCAUUUCAUUUCCUCCAUUCUCUGCUUCCAACAUUUCUUCACAUCUUUGGUUUUGAAAUGAAUCAUCAUAACCAAAAACAAGCUCCAGGUAAAUUCUAUUAUACCCUUUCUUGAAAUUUAUUCUCUGCUUUUAAUAUGUGCUCUGCCAGCAAAAUAUAUUGAUGGGUUGCUAUUGAUUUUUGUAUAGUGGUAUAUCCUCCACCACCCACUUCAUAUCCACCAAGUGAGGUCCAAGGCCGCCAUCAAGGUCCUUUUGUUGCUCCACCUCCUGUUGGUUACCCUAUGAAAAAUGGUCCUGGACAUCCAGAACAGACUCCUCCCGCCCCAUCAAAGACUCAGCAUAGGGGAGGAUUUGGCAGAGGAUGGUAAUUAUUAGUUCUAUUUGUCUUUCUUUCUUAAUAUAAUUAAGUUAAAAAAAUCAAUAAUGCAUUACCUAAAUGUCCUUUUCCUCUGUGACACAUGCAGUUGUGCUGGGUUAUGUUGCUGCUGCCUCCUGGAUAUAUGCUUUUGAUGAGGACUGAUUCUUCAUAGUAUUUGUAGCUCCACAACUCUCUUCUAGUGGUUGUGGGAGAUUCUCAUUGUUUAUUGUUUUUGUUUUUGUGAUUUAUUAUUUUGAUUCUUUUCAUAAUAAUAAUAACAAUACGAAUUUUAUGCUAUGUUUCUCUCACGAUUUCUACUUCUCCUUAAACAUUACACGGUGGCCUUAAUUAGCUCAAGAAAUUCAUAUGGAUUUAGUAAAAUCUCAAGUAUAUUCCAUUGCUGAUAAGAGGCUACACCCCAACAAGUGAAUAUUGUUUAUUUGUGAUUCAAUUCAUUAUGCUAAUGAAAUGCAGUAGGCCGAAAUGAGAAGAGCUCAA